Molecule: ribosomal RNA, 435 nt
Filed under: uncultured bacterium
Lineage: Bacteria
Description: partial 16S ribosomal RNA
Rfam family: Bacterial small subunit ribosomal RNA
Source: RNAcentral
AGCGAACGCUGGCGGCAGGCUUAACACAUGCAAGUCGAGCGGGCAUCUUCGGAUGUCAGCGGCAGACGGGUGAGUAACACGUGGUAACGUACCCUUCGGUUCGGAACAACUCUGGGAAACUUGAGCUAAUACCGGAUACGCCCUUAUGGGGAAAGGUUUACUGCCGAAGGAUCGGCCCGCGUCUGAUUAGCUAGUUGGUGGGGUAACGGCCUACCAAGGCGACGAUCAGUAGAUGGUCUGAGAGGAUGAUCAGCCACACUGAGACUGAGACACGGUCCAGAAUCCUACGAGAGGCAGCAGUGGGGAAUAUUGGAAAAUGGGGGCAAGCAUGAUCCACCCAUGACGCGUGAGUGAUGAAGGCAUUAGGGUUGUAAAGCUCUUUUGACCGGGACGAUAAUGACGGUACCGGAAGAAUAAGCCCCGGCUAACUUCGUG